AGUUUAACAGAAAACCUGUCCAGGGCCACUCUGUGAUCCCAGUCCCGGGCCGCUUAGCCAUCCCAAUCCGCCCCUGAGGAUACUUAACGAAUUAUUU
Long non-coding RNA from Limulus polyphemus (Atlantic horseshoe crab), 97 nucleotides. RefSeq lists it as uncharacterized. NCBI's taxonomy places the organism in Eukaryota, Metazoa, Arthropoda, Merostomata, Xiphosura, Limulidae. The record is from RefSeq and is a predicted model, not a curated record. The transcript is spliced from 3 exons.